AUUGAACGCUGGCGGCAGGCCUAACACAUGCAAGUCGAACGAGUGGCGGACGGGUGAGUAAUGUCUGGGAAACUGCCUGAUGGAGGGGGAUAACUACUGGAAACGGUAGCUAAUACCGCAUACCAUCGGAUGUGCCCCGAUGGGAUUCGCUAGUAGGUGGGGUAAAGGCUCACCUAGGCGACGAUCCCUAGCUGGUCUGAGAGGAUGACCAGACAAACUGGAACUGAGAAACGGUCCAGACUCCGACGGGAGGCAGAAGGGGGGAAUAUUGCAAAAUGGGCGCAAGCCUGAUGCAGCAAUGCCGCGUGUAUGAAGAAGGCCUUCGGGUGGUAAAGUACUGUCAGCGGGGAGGCGGUACCCGCAGAAGAAGCACCGGCUAACUCCGUGCCAGCAGCCGCGGUAAUUC
RNAcentral lists this ribosomal RNA (406 nucleotides) under uncultured bacterium. Its description in RNAcentral is "partial 16S ribosomal RNA". It matches the Rfam family "Bacterial small subunit ribosomal RNA", at positions 29 to 526 of the family's 1533-position model. The record is from RNAcentral.